UACGAACCGUCCUAACGUUAUUCGGAAUCACUGGGCUUAAAGGGUGCGUAGGCGGUCCGGUAAGUUGGGUGUGAAAUCCCUCGGCUCAACCGAGGAAUUGCGCCCAAAACUGUCGGACUCGAGGGAGACAGAGGUGAGUGGAACUUAGGGUGGAGCGGUGAAAUGCGUUGAUAUCCUAAGGAACACCGGUGGCGAAAGCGACUCACUGGGUCUCUUCUGACGCUGAGGCACGAAAGCUAGGGGAG
Molecule: ribosomal RNA, 245 nt
Filed under: uncultured bacterium
Lineage: Bacteria
Description: partial 16S ribosomal RNA
Rfam family: Bacterial small subunit ribosomal RNA
Source: RNAcentral